This 12640-nucleotide long non-coding RNA is filed under the name Homo sapiens (human). RNAcentral describes it as "non-protein coding PCBP1-AS1:216". Lineage: Eukaryota; Metazoa; Chordata; Mammalia; Primates; Hominidae. The record is from RNAcentral.
AGAUGGAGAGGACGCUCUGCCAUUUAGAGGUCCUACUGAGUGGGCACACCUUUUCCCCUCGAGAAAACCUUGUUUCUACCAGAGAAAUGGGCAGAGGCCUCUCUCUGGAACUUGAACCUCUCUGUCCCUGGAAACAUCCCAAAGCAGGCCCAGCCUGCCAUGUUCCUUUGUUGGGGCACAGAGGGAAUGGAAUCUUACCGAUAAGGUGAGAAGAGCUUGAGAGAAUACCAAGGACGGGCCCACCCUUCUCCCUCCUCCCUCCAAACACCUCAGGCUAAAAGGGGAGGGAAAAAAAAGGCACCAACAAAGAGUUUAAGACAGCAAUUCCCAGCUUUUUCAAAUAUGAAGCAUUUUUUAACCAAUCCGUUUUUUAAUUCUUAAAUUCUUGACAUUACAGAACUAAACUGAAAUUUAUUAACAUUCCACUCUUACAUUUCUUAUCGACAAACAGAAAUAAAAUUCAUGAGCCAAAAAACCCAAAACAAAACUAAAAACAGGGAAAAGCUUAUAAAACUAAAUAUGGAUCCCAGCAUUAACAGCUGAACAGAGAAUGUGAUUUUUAAAUUCUUAGCGGAUGAUAAAGUUGUGUAGAAACUGAACACUUACAAAUUAUUUAAAACCUGGAAUCACUGACCAGAAAUUACACAGUUGGAUCAUGGGAGAACAGCAGAAAGGGGUUAUUGAGGGAACCUACACUGUUCUAGCUGCACCCCAUGCCCUUCUCAGAGGAAAGCCUGGCAUUGAUUAGAUACUGGGCCAGACUAAUACUGGCAGCAGAGCCAGUGAUAGUAACCUGCCUACCAGAGGAGCCUUCCACUGGGUUGGCAAUUUUGAUCUGGGCCCCGGACAUCUGGCGGAUCUCAUUAAUGUUGGCGCCUUGGCGCCCGAUUAUGCAGCCAAUUAAGUUAUUUGGAAUGGUGAGUUCAUGGGUGGUUUGAGUAGAUGCAUCCAAACUUGCCCAAUAGCCUUUCACCUCUGGAGAGCUGGAGUCAAUUCCGGCGAAUCCGGUCCCGCCGUGCAUCAUGGCAAAGUGAGACUGUUGUCUUGCCACCUGGUUCAGCUUGGCCAGAUCGAGCGGAGAAAUGGUGUGUUGUCCUUGAAUCGAGUAGGCAUCUAGAGGUGGUCCCUCCAGGUCAUGGGUGGCAUGGGGGUAGCCCGCAGCGUCGCUGCACCGAUCUUGGCCGCCCGCGCAGAUGACUGGGGAGCUGGCCGGCAUGGGCUGGUACGGAAUGGUCAUGACUCUCCCUUGCGGAGACUGGGAGAGCGUCUCCAGCAUGACCAGGCAAAUCUGCUUGACACACUCGGUGACAGACUGCGGCACGCCAGCGAUGGUGAUGGCCCGCUCGGUGGAGUUGGGCAGCAUAUCCCCCGCCACCUGGACCUGCGCCCCCGUACUCUCGCGGAUCUCUUUGAUCUUACACCCGCCUUUCCCAAUCAGGGAGCCGCACUGGGUGGCCGGCACCACCAGCCUCAGGGUGACCGGGGGCCUGCUGGCCGCGGUACUGUUGGUCAUGGAGCUGUUGAUAUCUUCCUCCAGCUUGUCGAUGAUCAUAGCGAAAGCCUUAAAGAUGGCAUUGGUGGGGCCGGUCAGAGUGAUGAUUCUCUCCGGACAAUUCCCCUCCGAGAUGUUGAUCCGCGCGCCACUCUCCUCGCGGAUCCUCUUAACCGACUCCCCUUUCUUCCCAAUGAUGCUUCCUACUUCCUUUCCGUGCAUAAGAAGCCGAAUGAGGAAGACAAACAUAAAGAUGAAGUGCUUAAUUCAAGGUCACACAAUGUCGGGGAUGGACCUCCAGAUUUCCUUACUGGUGAGACGUGGUCUUGUAACACAGUGGUUAAGAAUGUGACUUUGGAGCCAGCCUGCUAGGGGCUGAAUUCUGACUCAGCCAUUUACUAACUGUGUGACCUUAGUUCCCUGAGCACAUGCUGUUGAGUAAUCCUGCCUGGACCAGUACUUCCCUCACCCUAGACUUCACCUUCAGUUCCCCUUUAUACCACCUGCUGAAGCUGCCAGCCAGCCUUUUCGACCACCCUCCCUCCCCCAGGGGUGUUUGGCUUCUCAGACCCCAGCCUGAGCUAGUGCCCUUGGCUUCCUAGGGUCUUGCCAGGAAAGCAAAGGAGAACAUGCAUACCGCCAAAGAGUACCUAAUAAUAAGAACUCCCAUCCUGAAUUGUGAUUUAUAGUCAGCAUAGCACAUGUGUCAGGUGAUUAUACUUAGGCUGAUUUUAGCCUUAAUAAUCUGCUUCUGUGAUCCUGUAUGUGGGAAGCCUAGAAAUUUCUCUGUGAUCCUCCUUCCUGGAUCACUAAGAGACAAGUCAAGACAUAGGUCCAUUCUACCACCUGUGUUAAUCUGGGCCUUGUUGAGACCAUUUAAAGAAAGGCGUGAUGCUAGAAGUAAGGUCCAGGCCUCCUGCACACUGUUUCAAGGCUGUGACCAUAGUCAGAUCCUGUUGCUUGAGUCCAAAGAGUUUAAAAUAGUGUUGGAAACCUCCUAGGGAAAAAACAAAAAACAAAACACCACAUCUUCCUGGGUAAGGAAGUGACAUGUGCUGACUAGAGCAGGAGGGGUAGCCAAGGCUCCAAGUUCUAUUCUGGACCUGUUGUUGAUUUGAGGUGUGACAUUCAGCAAUCUGAGCUGAUGUUCUGUAGCUCUGAUUGGUUUCUCAUCUUCUGCAGAGAGAGUGAAAGAGGCUGUGCUUGCAGGGGAAAAGGUGAACACUGGUCUCCUGUCCUUUAGGAGAGCUUCACCAUUACACGUCCUGCCUCUCAUUUGAAUUUCCAGGCUUUUUUAGAGUCUCGCUCUAUUGCCCAGAUUGGAGUGCAGUGGUGUGAUCUCGGCUCACUGCAACCUCUGCCUCUGGGUUUAAGCGAUUCUCUCACCUCAGCCUCCCAAGUAGCUGGAAUUAUAGGUGCGUGCCACCAUGCCUGGCUAAUUUUUGUGUUUUUAGUAGAGACAGGGUUUCACCAUGUUGGCCAGGCUAGUCUCGAACUCCUGACCUCAAGUGAUCCACCCACCUCGGCCUCCCAACCAGGCUUUUUUAAAUGCAGAAACCGCCCGCCCCCAGAGUUAAUAUGGAAACCCAGCAAUGUUGUUUAUGUUUUACUUGAAUUCGUUUCAUCAGAAUUGCAUUCCUUUUAACAGUGUGAUUAGAUCAGCUCUUAGAGGGGAUGGCAGCUUCAGUAGGGUUUAGGAAAGGAAAGGAAUAUUUGUGUGGGGCACACACUUUGGCUUUGAUAGCUUGAGGAUACCAGGUACAUGAUAAUUUAGAUGGAUAACAGAAACUUGUGUCCCUUGAGAGCCAGGCAUGUAUUAGAUGCUUUCAUACAUUAUUUAAUUGUAAUACAAACCAAUAAAGUAUUCCCAUUUUUUGCACAUGGGCAAGCUGAAAGUCAAAGAAGUUAUGUAACUUGCCCAAGGUCACACAGCUAAUAAAAAGGCUGAGCUAGGAUUUAUUUCUCCUCAAGUCUGUACAACGCCAGAGCCCAUGCUGUUUUCACAGAGCUUUUCUGUCCCUGGUGAGAUUUAGGAAAGGAGGGUAGGAGAAAGAAGGGUGAUGAGAUGCCAUUUUUACCCACCUUGCGAUUUUGCUUGUUGGGACGUGUUUAGCCAGAACAUUCUGUUUAUAGAAUACUAGAUUCUAUAUAUAGAGAUGCUGCAGCAACAUAUGUGGGAAAGAUACCAAUUGGCUGUAGGUGAGGAUUUCAAAAAGCCUUUGUUCUUCAUCACAGCAUAGGCCACACGUGUCAAAACACCACUGGUAAUUGGUUUACUGCUUAAGUGGCUCUGUCCUAUCAUCUACAUAAAAUCUGUUGAUGUGGCUCACAAAGUCAGGUGUGAUGGGGCCAGAGGUGAGGGUGUGGUGUAUCCUCACUGCAUGUACUGGAGCUGGUGGCACCUGUUGUGUGACUACUGCAGUGAAUGAUUACUGAGUAAAUAAGAGGUGUCUCAGCCAGGCGUGGUGGCUCACGCCCGGAAUCCCAGCACUUUGGGAGGCCGAGGUGGGCGGAUCACCUGAGGUUGGGAGUUUGAGACCAGCCUGACCAACAUGGAGAAACCCCGUCUCUACUAAAAAUACAAAAUUAGCUGGGCGUGGUGGCUCAUGCCUGUGAUCCCAGCCACUUGGGAGGCUGUGGCAGGAGAAUCGCCUGAAUCCGCGAGGCGGUGGUUGCCGUGAGCCGAGAUCGUGUCAUUGCACUCUAGCCUGGGCAACAAGAGUGGAACUCUGUCUCAGAAAAACAAAACAAAACAUUAGGUGUCUCCUUUUUUCUUCUCCAAGGGAGACCAGAUAGCAGUGGGUGCUGGCACACAUCCAGGGAUCCUGGCCCCUGGGCUAGCAGAAGAGAUGGCUUGAAGGUGUCAGGUGAUGGAAUAAAAAGAGCUGGUCUGUCAAGUGGUAUAAUUUCAGGGGACCAAGAAUGUGUCCUGCCCCUCAAAAACUUGCCCUAGCUGUUUGCUAUUGCUUGGGAUCCCACAAUUGAAAUUUCUUUUUCUUGAUUUAAAUCUUUGAGACCCUAUUAAAAAUGAAGAGACUCCAGGAAGAGUUUUGAUUGUGAAACAUUUUGGUCAUGUUAACUGGAAGUAUGAAUGAGUUUAUAAGAUUGAUUUCUGAGAACCAGACUGAGGAAGGGAUAGGGAGGAGAAGGCACUGUGCCCCUAGUUGCAGGGACAAGAAGGAGACACCAAUGAGUUUGAGAUAAAGGCCUUGAAGAGAGAUGCUGGGUCUCUAAAGAAAUACUUGGUUUCCUUCACAGUUUUGUCUGAGAAAAGACAAGCAGCUGACAGUGCUGGUUAUGGAGGCCCAUGACCCCAAAAGAGGUUGUGCUGAGUAGAUAGCCCACCAGCAUGUUCGGAUGGAGGCACAAUGUUGUCUGGAGAGCAGCUGACAGCUAUAAUGUAACCAGGAGUGCUGGACCUUUGGGUCUGUGGUUUACUGUGAUGUACUGAGACAAAGACUGUCACAGAUCUUAGAAGGGGGAGGCACAGCUUCCAAGAAAUGAUGCAAAAUGGUGGCGCAAAAGAGGCCACCAGUGGCAACAAGGGCAGGGCAUUUCCUUUGUGGCUGGUGGUCACGGACAACUUCUGGUCUCAAUUUCCCAAUGAGCUAUGCUAAGAAAUUUACCAGAAAGCAAAAUAAGCCAUGCAAAAAGCGAUGACAAAGCACUUGGGGUAUCCAUGCAAAGGUGCAGUUCCCCCUUGUCCACUAAUUUUGUGGAGCCAAAAGAGCUGAUCCAGAAGCUGCAAAGAUAGUCCCUGUGAUUAAGACAUACAACUUUUUUUUUUUUAAAUGCGAGACUCUGUCUUACUCUGCCACCCAGGCUGGAGUGCAGUAGAGCAAUCUUGGCUCACUGCAACUUCCACCUCCUGGGUUCAAGUGAUUUUCCUGCCUUAGCGUCCCAAGUAGCUGGGAUUACAGGCGCGCACCACCACGCCCAGCUAAUUUUUGUAUUUUUAGUGGAGAUGGGGUUUCACCAUGUUGGCCAGGCUGGUCUUGAACUCCUGACCUCAGGUGAUACACCCGCCUCGGCCUCCCAAAGAAGGCAUACAGCUUUUUUGGCCUGAGUUCUUCCAAAGAGAGACCCUUCCUAGUUGACUUGGCAUCAUCUUUCAUUCACCAGUGUUCUCUAACUGCCUUUAUGAUUAGAAUUCUCACAGCGUUUUCUCCCCCAAGGGCAUAUUUUACAGAGGCAACUCAAAUCUCAGUGCCUUUCUGAACUCCUUACAAUUGGGUUUAUAGAUGCCUCCACCCUGAGGUUCAAUUUCACUGUCCAUAUUCCUAUUCUAAGUCUGGAGCACUUUAUUUUUGAUCCAGACUUUUAGCUUCACUGAGGCCUCUUGGGUUCUAGCUAAUUUUUUUGGACACAUUUCCCUAGUGGGCAGCCUAGGAAUGGCCUGUCCUCCCUAUCCCCCAAAGUUUGGCAAGGUCUGUACCCCCUACCUUAAUGGAAUCAGCACUACUUGAGAUUUCUGAACAUCCUACACCGUUUCCUCUCCCCUCAACCCCUGCAGCCUCAUACACGAGGUCUAGUGGAAAGCAGGAUCUGCUGAUCACUAGGAUAUUAGAGCCAGUGUCUCCAGUAGGGAAGAACUCCUGGGCAUGUGUUCUAUGCCCUGAAUGACAGCUCUCUGCCUAUCAGUUUCUGCUUUCCCUCCAUCUCACCUUUAUUUUGGCUUUUACCUAGAAGUACAAACUUUGUCUUGUUCCUCUGCCUGGACUUCCUAACCCUGUCCAGGACUAAAGCCCUGCUGUCAGUCCCUCACCAGGGACUUUCCACACUUUCCCUGGCCAGGUCACUUAUCUGAUACUAGAGCCUUUUCUUGCAUCUAGGCUUUAGUAGGUAGAGUUCUGUCCAUGCACAGAUCUCCCUGUGUUGACCACCUUGAACUUCGCCUAGUGCUCUUUGCGCUAAUUAGAUGCCAUGCUAGUCUGUCCUGCUGCCUUCUGGAACAAGGCUCUUAGCUUUGUUGAGCUCUUGCCCUGGAUUUCAUGUUAGCUGUCCAGCUGCCUGCACCUCAAAAAGAGCUUUUAAUAUGCAUUAUAAAACUCCAAAAGGGAAAUAGAAUAUAUAACAUUUUUCAAACGUAUUUAACUAGAGAUCCAUUUUUUUUUUCUGAAGGAAUAUUUAUUAAAAUCUUACAGAAUAUGUGUUUGGUGGAAUACAGUUUUGGAAAGAGUGAAUCUUUAUCCCAAAGGAAUGGACAUCAAAUAGAGUAAUUCCAGAUGAAGAUAAUGUUACUAUUACCUUCAUCUGAAAUUCCAGAUGAAGGUAGUAAUCACUAUUUCCUGUGUGUCUGCAUAAGGAUAGCUCUAAUCCGCAGUGGAACUCUAAAAUAGGGAGGAAGGAAGAAUUCUGCAUUCUUUCUUCCACUUUGAAUCCUCUUCUUCCCAAUGGAAACAGGAAGUGGUAAAUGCAAUGGUGCCAUCACGGCCAUGGUCGUCACUGGCUUCUGGAUACAAGAUAGGAGGGCUUCUCUGAGGCUCUCUUCCCUAGAUUGGACCUCUCAGAAUUUCUCUAGAGUGCUCCUGAGCACCCUUCCUUCUACUCUGGGACUAUAUUCAUCUCAGCAUCAGUCUCAAGUUUAACUGCUAGUUCAGGAUUUUGAUGUUACACAUGGGGAUCAGUGCCAGAUGGGAUGUAGCUCAUUUUUAUGGAAUGAGUAUGACAUAAAUUUUCUCCUUUCCCUAUUAAAUUUCUCUUCUAUAUCUUGUGGGCAGUCCAGACUAUAAUUUUUUUUUCAAUCCUUGAAUGGAGAUAAGCUCAUGCUCUGUGGGCAGGGCGGUGUUACAGGUGGGUCGCCAUUUAAAUCCGACUGGGUGGGUGACCACGUACCAGGAAUGGAAGUUGGCUUAGCUAGUAACCAAAGAGCAAGCCAGUUACUUCCCCUGCAUGCCAUUCCCAACCAGCACAGCUGGGGAAAGACCACCUGAAAGAAAUCUCUAAGACUUCUGAUGAAGAAAUUACUAGGUCCUCUUGAGACCCUCAUGUAUGUGUCUUUAUUGUCGUGAGUGAGAUCAUUAGUUGGCUGAUCUCAGUUGGCUUAGCUAAUCAUAAACUAGAUGGAAAGGCUCAGCUUUGACCAUGACCUUAAAUAUGGAUGGACCAUGUCCUUAGGUAUGUUCUUUGAGCAUCCAGUAAGCAGCAUUCUCCGUAGACAAGCCCCACCCUUGGGGCCUUAGCCUAUGGCAUUUGUCCAUUUUUGCCAUUUCUUCUGAAAGACUAUGGUUUUAACUGAAGACCAGGGAGUCAGCUCGCUUAUAGGAAGUGGGAAGAGGGCUUGAAAUGGGCAUUCAGAGAUCUUAAAUAGAGCUUGUAGUUUAUUUGGUCAGUCUACAAGUAUUUGCCACGUUAGUUUAGUUUAGUUUAGUUUAGUUUUGAGUCGGAGUCUCACUCUGUCACCCAGGCUGGAAUACAGUGGUGUGAUCUCGGCUCACUGAAACCUCUGCCUCCCGGGUUCAAGUGAUUCUCCUGCCUCAGCCUCCCGAGUAGGUCAGAUUACAGGGGCCUGCCACUGCGCCCGGCUAAUUUUUGUACUUUUAGUAAAGACGAAGUUUCACCAUCUUGGCCAGGCUGGUCUUGAACUUUUGACCUCAUGAUCCACCUGCCUCGGCCUCCCAAAGUGCUGGGAUUACAGGCGUGAGCCACCGUGCCCAGCCGGUAUUUGCUAAGUAUUAAUUGGCUUAUAACUGUGGAAAACUUGUUAACAGCUUUAGGAAGGCUGUUAGGGAAAGUCUCAGGUUGCAGUGAGCUGAGAUCAGGCCAUUGCACUCCGGCCUGGGUGACAGAGCAAGACUCCAUCUCAAAAUAAAUGAAUAAAAAUUUAAAAAAUAAAUAAAGAGACAAAGUCUUGCUCUGUCACUCAGGCUAGAGUGCGGUGGUGUGAUCACAGUUCACUGCAGCUUCAAACUUCUGAGCUCAAGCAAUCUUCCUGUCUCAGCCUCCCUGAGUAGUUGAGAUUACAUAGGUGGGUGCCACUAUGCCCAACUGUCUCUACUCCCUCUAUAUACUGUCUCUAGAUGAUGCCAUCUAUAUUUAUUGGUUCAGCUACCACUGAUACAUCAAGUACUUUAAUACCAUCAUCCUCCACCUAGAUUUUUCUCUCUUCUGAGUUUCUUACUCAUAAUAGCCAAACACUAUUGGCAUUGUAACCUGGAUAGCUCUUAAGCACCUUAAACUCAACAUGUCUCAAGCCAAAUUAUAUUGUUCAUCACACCAUUCUCUUUCCCUUUCCAAACCUCCUCCUCCUCCUCAUUUCCUUGAUUUAGGAGCAUCACUGUCUGGCGUCAUUUGUUAACAUGCUUUUGCAUUACUGUUUUCUAUUCCCCCACUGGGAAUUUAAUAGUCUCCGGUUGUAAUGUAAGAUGUUUAGGAUGUGGUUCUUUCUUUUCUUAUUCAAGAACAAUUAAAGGUUAAGCUGAGAUUCAGACUCUAAGUAAAAUGGAAGUCGUGGAGAGGAAGCAUCUGAGGGCUAGAACCUUGGAAGAAAACUUGAGAGUUGACUAAGGCCACCCUUAGGUGCAGUAGGGGCCAGAAGACCUUUUUAGGAGCAUGCAGAAUGGAGAAGAGGUGGGGCAUAUGAUCCUCAGUUUGUUUCUUGUGCAAGCAGAGUAAUUGGCACCUCCCCUGCUGGCUGUUUGUGUAAAUCACUGUGGAACCUCAUGUAAUCUGGUUUAAACGUCUAAGGAUUGAGCAUCCUAGUAUAACCCAUCAGCUAGCUGGAGUCAUCCUUCUCCUUAAAGUUUUGGCUGAAAAUGUCAUUCUUCAACUUACAGCAAGUUGUUCUGAUUCCUUCUUCAGAUUUCUUCAAAUUCCCAGGAGCUCUGAUUUUGAGCUCUUGCUUCCAUUGAAUUUGUUUAGAUUAUGGAUGGUUUACUAGAUCAAGUACACUGACCCUGUUUCCAUCCACAAUGAUACAGAUGUAGAACUCCCAGCUAAAGCCUUUAUAUGCGUUGCAGACUUUAUCAAAGGUUUGGGAUAAUGGAGAGAAUUCAACAUUGCAACAAAGUAAGCAACUUGAAUUCUAAUACUGGUUAUUCCUGUUCCUCAGAGUACUUUUGCCCACCCCUCCACUAGGGAUUUGUCAUUAUUCAUAUCACCCACAUAUGUUGGCUUUGUUUUUUUUUUUUUUUUGAGAUGGAGUUUUGCUUUCGUUGCCCCGGCUGGAGUGCCAUGGCAUGAUCUCGGCUUACUGCAACCUUUGCCUCCCACGUUCAAGUGAUUCUCCUACCUCAGCCUCCCAAGUAGCUGGGAUUACAGGCAUGUGCCACUAUGCCUGGCUAAUUUUUGUAUUUUUAGUAGAGACAGGGUUUCUCCAUGUUGGUCAGGCUGGUCUCGAACUCCCAACCUCAGGUGAUCCGCCCACCUCGGCUUCCCAAAGUGCUGGGAUUACAGGCGUAAGCCACCCCACCCAGCUGGCCUUGGUCUUUUAUAAUCUUAUCUUUCUCUCCUCUGCAAACUCUCCUUAGCAUAUUACCACUAGAACUCCAAAUACUUCUGUCAUUCUAUUUUGCAAGCAAUUUAACUCUCUCAAACUCUUCCUCCUAAAAUCACUUCUGGGUUCACUUCUGUGUGUCCAGAGCCUACCAAGGGGGAAUAAAGAGCUUCAUACGCUUUUUUUUCCCCCUUGAGACAUGGUUUUGUUCUGUUGCCAAGGCUGGAGUGAAGUGCUAUGAUGUGGUCAUAGCUCAUUGUAACCUCAAACUCUUGGCCUCAGGCAAUCCUCCCACCUUAGCCUCCUGAGUAGCUAGCACUUACAGGUGAUCACCACCACACCUGGCUACUAUUUUUUUUGUCUUUUAGUGACAGGGUCUUGGUAUGUUGCCCAGGCUGGUCUUGAACUUGGUAUGUUGCCCAGCCUGGUUGCCCAGGCCACUGGCCUCAAGCAAUUCAACUUUCUUGGCCUCCCAAAGUGUUGGGAAUACAAGCAUGAGCCACUCUGCCCAGCCUUCAUGCAUUUCUUUAGCUACACAAAGAAUAAUAUGUAGACCCUCUGAUGUUUACUUUUCCAUUAUCUUCCAUCUUUUGAAGGUAUUUCUUGUUUUGAGUAGCACUUACUGCUUAUCUGCAUAAUGGUUUUACAUUGAAGGAUCUAUGGAGGAAAAAUAGGAGGAUAUUCUAGGUAAAAGCAACAAUAAAAGCAGCAACCUUCACAAAACCUGUUGUGGACAAAUGAAAAACUAGUCCAACUGGGCAGAAGAAUUCUUGUCAAGGAGGAGAGCUCACAAUAGAUUAGAAAAUCCAGAAACAGACCUAGGUUUCAGCAGGAAAGGAUAGUGUUAGGACAAAUGAUACAGGACAGCUGGCUGACAAGAAAAAAAAUUUCUGUCACCAUAUAACAAAAUUAAUUCUAAAUGGAUUACAAGUUUUUACAUAAAAACUAAAGUAAUAAAUGUACUAGAAGAUAAUUUUUUUUUUGAAGUAUGGCACUAAAGGCAGAAACUAUAAAGGAAAAUGUGUGAUGAAUUAGCUAAAAAAAAGUAACAGCAUAAGCAAAAGUACAUGACAAACUGGUUAAAAACAGUUUUCAACAUAUCUCUAAUGUACACAGAGCUUUUACACGUUAAUAGGAAAAAAAAUACCACAAAAAAAUGGGCCAAAGUCAUAGAAGAAUAAAUUCAAAUGUGACUAACAAAGCAUAUAGAAAAAGGCUAUUUCAGCCAGGCGCAGUGCCUCAUGCCUGUAAUCCCAACACUUUGGGAGGUUUUUACAAAAAUGAAUUAGCCAGGAGUGGUGGUGCACACCUGUAGUCCCAGCAGUAGCUCAGGAGGCUGAGGCACGAGAACGGCCUGAAUGCAGGAGGCGGAGGUUGCAGUCAGCUGAGAUCACGCCACUGUGCCCCAGCCUGAGUGACAGAGCAAGACUCAUGCCUGUAAUCCCAGCACUUUAGGAAGUUGAGGCAGGCAGAUUGCUUGAGCUCAGGAGUUUGAGAACAGACUAACAAGUCACUGAUUAUGCCAAGGUGUUUAUCUACACCAAAAUUGGAAGGUUACCUAUCAUGAUGGAAAUGGGGCUAACUGGAAAGGGGAGCCACUCCUCUAGAAGGGGAAGAUGGAUUUGUUUCCUGGAGUUGAAUUUGAAGAGCUAGAGGUACAUCCAAGAGGAAAUGUUCCAUAGGCUGGAGAUUUCCAUUUAGAGAAAAAAAUUACUUCUAAAGUAGAAGCAAUAGGUGGGAGUGGAGACUCCCUAGAUUUGGCACCUUUGACAGGCUUGGAGGGGAGGUGGUAUUUUGGUUCUUCCCUUCCUGCCAGAAGUCUCCUUGAGAGAGACUGGAGAGGAGUGUGUGGUCUCAAUUAGAACCUGAAGAGUAGAGACUGGGGAGAGGUAGGAGUGGGCAGUAAUCAUAAACAACAGCCACAACAGCAUUUAAAAAUUACUUUAGGCCAGGCGCAGUGGCUCAUACCUGUAAUCCCAGCGCUUUGGGAGGCUGAGGUGGGAGGAUCCCUUGAGCCUAGGAGUUCGAGGCUGCAGUGAGCCAUGAUCGUGCCACUGCACUCCAGCCUGGGUGACAGAGUGAGUCCCUGUCUUGGAAAAAAAUAAAAAUUACUUUAGAAAGUGACACUAUAGUGACUUAAGUAACAGAAUCCUGUGUGUUUUAGAUUAUUACUUUUUUUUGUUUUUUGUUUAUGUGUACACUUCCAAUUUUGGUGUAGACAAACACCUUGGCAUUAUCAGUGACUUGUUACUCUGUUCUCCUCUUCCUGCCUGAGAGACUGUCAAAUCAGCACUUAUUCUAUAAAGUGUCUUUAGAUUGAUCCAUUUCUUUAUAAUCCCACCCGCCCACGCUAGUUGCUACCUUAUUAUUUCAUACUUGUAUUGCCAUUACAGCUUACUAACUGGUUUCUCUAAUUUCAUUUUCUGCUUCAUUCAUUUUGCAUGCUACAACAUAAAACCUGCCCUGAUCACUGCUUUUAUCACCACUAUCUGCUCAAGAGCCUACAAUGGCUCUUCAUUACCAAGCCCACCAAGGUAAAAUAAUUUUGUCCGGUUUCAGCCCACCCACCAUAUUCAAGUAACAGGGUGUCUCUUUUUCUGCCCACCUCUUCACUGCUCCUAGCUCCAGGCUGCAGCUUUUGCUCUGUCUGCCCCUCUUUGGAAAAUUCAUCUCUAAGAGACAGGGAGUGGAGAAAUGAGAAAUGAACUUUGAGG